UGUUUCAAUAAAAUUGCUAAGGCCAGAGACAAUACAUAAACAUAUUAGACUAUUCAUGACACAUAUCACGGUGGACAGUGUCUGUAUCCUUAUUACAAGCAGCGAGAGAUGCUUGUCACCACACACACGCGUGCACAGAUGCACGACAUACAUAUAGUUGAGACCAACAAAUGGUUGCCCCAUAUGGUGAACAAUUUAUUGGAGAUAAACAUUAACAUAACUUGGCCAUAGCUUGAAGCAUAGCAACAUAUGCCUAUGAAUGGCAUUCAUACUGGUAGCAAUGCAAUCAUAUCGUUUUAGGCUUGUCCAGCUUCUUCCAUCUUAGCAAGCGCUCCCAUUUCUUCCAUCUUAGCAACAACUGUCAAAUUGAGAUAUGAAAAUCCCAUUAGCACAUGAGUUAAUUUUGCACUGGAAAUAGAGUACAAGAUGUCUUCAUGAUGUAAGUAACAUGCCUGAAGUUGUGAGAUGGGAAGUGAAGUCAACAAAUUACAUUAAUGGAAAUGCAUGGAAGGCCACGCAUGCAUACGUAUUAGUCCACGAUAUGCUACAAAGCCUUGUAUGUACAUAUAACAAAUUAAAUGCAUUGAAUAGAGUGAGUUUACUGAAUUUACCAGAAUCGGACAGAACACAUGGGAAACAGCAAGUGUUCUUGCAGAGUGAGUCGGAGCCACCUGCAGUAAUACAAGCAAAACAACAUGCUUUUGCCCGGGCGGAUACGCAGCAGCUGCACUGUGCCGCGGUGGCCGGGUUAACAUCGAGGCUCAAGAUGACCAGGCACAUGAUCACCAUCAAAGCGGUAGUCCUCUUUCCCUCCAUUGCCUCCUCUUGCUGCUACCUUCCUUGGUUACCUAGCUAAGUUUAUUGGUUUUGUGUUGAGAGGUGAUUCUUGAAUGGAUGUUGCCGGCUGCAAUUUAUAGGCAGCUGCGCUAUGUGAUGAUAUGGACAAGGUGCAAAUGGGUGGUCCAAUGGCAAGGAAAGGGGGUAUUCUGCUUGACAUUGGCAUCAGACAAAGCCCAAUGGCAACUGCUGACACGCGAUUAAAAUCAGAUCCACAUCUUAUCCAGCCAUUCACUAAUAAUUAAACUAAACCCACGCGGUCCGCGAGAUGCAGCGUCCAUGCAUACACUUCCCGCCAAACAAUAGGAAAAAUUAGAAUUCAGAGAUAGUAGUGUGCCAGCAGCUGCUUGCAUGAAACACGGCAAUCAGUGGUGCUUGGACGGCAAGUAGUGUGGUGUACAAGCUUAAAGCGGCAGUGAGUCACGUUGGUGUAACAAGCAGUACAUCAGCUGGAAGAUUGAUAUGUCUAUUGCCCACGCAGCAUAGCAUUUUAUUAUGAUACAUUGAGUUAUGUCAUAUUGUUACUUUAAGUUAUUUUUUAAGUAUUAGUUGUAGACAAUUUAGUUGCAAAUUUAAGCGGUUAUUUUAAAUUAUUUUUUAUAAUGGAAUAAGUGGGUAAUUUAGAUGAAGAUUAGGGGGUUACUUGUAGCACUACAUGAAGGCGCUGAGGUGGGNNNNNNNNNNNNNNNNNNNNNNNNNNNNNNNNNNNNNNNNNNNNNNNNNNNNNNNNNNNNNNNNNNNNNNNNNNNNNNNNNNNNNNNNNNNNNNNNNNNNUCUUAUGGAUAGGUGGGUAAUUUUUUUAGAAAAUAUAAUAGAUCCAAUGGCUACGAUGAUUUGAGUCUAAUGAUUGAUGGCAAGAUGUUUUUCUUGUUUGUGGGAAUUUUAAAUAUUUCUCUUUUUUUUAGAGUGUCCACCUAGAAUGCUAGGUGGUUUCACUUGGAGACUUCAAAAGGAGCUUCCAAAUUAGUAAUAGUAAGAUUUUCUCAAAAGAGACUUGAUUCUACCACUAUAACUUGAUUGGCCGCCCCGGCCUCUACCUUUGCCUCCAUUUGACUAUUUGAGUUGGCUGUCAACGAUUCACGGUGCUGGCAACAUUACGUUUGAUCCAAAUGCCACUACUCAUGUGCGCCAGCUGUAUUCUACCAAGUGGCAUGUGGGAAUGCCAUGAUGCAUGUGCAGUAACAGCGUGCACAUCUUGUAGGAUUCGCACCUCGUUUUCACUAUUGUAUCAUCUUAGCGAUUAGGAGCGAAAUGUGCUUGGGGGUUGCAAUUGGGAUAUAGACCUUAUUCUCGAAGAGAAUCUUAAAAGCUUACAUUCGCCCCCUCGGUCGCCUGUGUUCCGAUCCUUCACCUAUAAAUUAGGAGUAGCAGGUAGUAAGUGGCAGGUUAGAUAAGUACUCGUUGAUGAAUGUUGACUUGGCGUGAUUGGCUCUGCUAUUUUCACGAAGAUGCCAAUAUUGAAAGCACAUCCACCAUUUCUGCGGAUGUGAGGGAUGAACUAAUUAAUUGUUUCUUGUCCAUUAUUGCACCGUACCUCCCAUUUUCCCGUUUUCCAAACAAUUAAAGGUACCCUUACGUUACGCUUGAUCCAAAUGCCACCACUCAUGUGCGCAAGUGGCAUGUGGUAAUGCCAUGAUGCAAGUGCAGUAACAGCGUGUACAUCUUGCAUGAUUCGCGCCUCGUUUUCACUAUUGUAAUCUAUAAAGAAACAAACAAAAAACAAAAUGAUGGAUGGAUCAGCUCGGGAUCCAAUAAUCGAGAGGAAUUCAAGGAAAAAGAAAAAUUUGGGAUCACGUGUGCGGAUCCUAAUAACAAUAUAUAGUAGGACAUCUCCAUGCUCACCUAGUAGCCACUACUAGUGCGCCGGCCCAGUUGGCGCUAAGACAUCGUACGUGCAUUAAGGGGGUGUUUGAUACUGGAUGCUAAACUUUAGCAGUGUCACAUCGGAUGUUCGGAUGCUAAUUAGGAGGACUAAACAUGAGCUAAUUAUAAAACUAAUUGCAGAACCCCUGUGCUACUUCGCGAGAUGAAUCUAUUAAGGCUAAUUCAUCCAUCAUUAUCAAAUGGUUACUGUAGCACCACAUUAUCAAAUUAUGGACUAAUUAGGCUUAAUAGAUUCAUCUCGCGAAUUAAACUCCAUUUGUGCAAUUAGUUUUGUAAUUAGUCUAUGUUUAAUACUUCUAAUUAGCAUCCAAACAUCCGAUGUGACAGGUGCUAAACUUUAACAGUGGGGAUCCAAACGGGGCCUAAGUCUGUGGUGCCCAACGAUCUCUUUCUUCUAACUCAUGCUUGACUGUGACGGUGCUAUUAUAUAUUAUUGCAUGAUCAUCAGGAUAAGAUCGUAUAGUGACUGAGUGAGACAUGUAUGUACUAACUUGCAUUUAUCCAAGAAGAGGCACAUGAGUAGUGGUGCAUGCAUCCACACCUUGGGAUGCUGCAAACUUUUAUGGGUCCAUAUGUAUAGCCAAGUAAACUAUUUUAUCCUGCUGCAAGCUGCAGACAUAAGUUUAUUUAACCUUUGUUCACAAUCACUUCCACUGUCGUCGCAAUUGCCAAAGACAAGCUCACCAAUGCUAUUGCGGAGCAGGCCAAUUUCCUGUGGAACUUCGGCGACGACCUGAAGGACAUGAACUCGGUGCUGGAGUCCAUCUCAGCAGCGCUCCAGGACGCUGACACCGGUAGAAAAACGACAUUCCAUCCUCAACAAAAAUCAUGGCAUCCUCUACUCAGUCAGAUGUACUGUGUAGGUGAGAUGGUAAGGAAGCUAUGCGCGAGGCUUAAGGUCGUGAGUUCGAAUCCCAUGCACCACGCACGCACGCGCAUAUUUCACGUGACUUGUGAUCCGCCAAGGAGAAAUGGGUGCAGCUGUUGCUUAAGUGCCUGAGGCACACUGCCAUAGACAUCUCGGAUUUGCUCGAAGAGUACCAAGAAACUAGGAACCCUUAACAGCAAAGGUGAGUACUUAUGUAUGUCAGCAUCUAUGUUGUCCAUGCUUCCAAUGCAAUAACACGAAGGACUACUCUUUCUAGCGGACUCUUCACAAUCACUCGUAAAGGUAUGCGUUUCUCAAUGCAAUUUCAUAGAAGGCAAUCGAUCCAACCAAGCGACUAAAUCAUUCGUCCUUGCCAAUGAUGUGCAUCAGGUUUUCUAUAUGAAGGGCAUGUCUAGCAAACCCAAGAUUUCAGAACAAAAGAAAAAUCAUGUGAGCCAAAGCGCCACAUUGUUCUUCCAAGUAAAAAACAUCAUGGGAGUCGAGAACAAAUCAGACCAAUCAAGGGAUUAUGGUCAGCUUGAUGGCAUGCCUCCAUUCGAUGUCGAAGUUGACCCAAGCAUCAUGUUAGCCAAAGAUCAAAUGUUCGUGCGUUGCUAUGGUAAAUAUCAAUUGUGUUUUUUAAACUCAUGGAUUUUUUUAUCUAAGUUUUUAUUACACUUAUUGGAUGUCUACACAUUUGCUAGAAAACCAAAAUAAUUUUGACUUAAUUAUUUCUUUCAACUCAAAUACUCAUUAAAUUUCUACGUUUUUAUUUAAGCAAGAGAGUUGCUACAAAAAAAUGGAUACGUAACCAUAUUGUAUCAUACAAAGCAACCACAUUUCACAUAUAGUCCGGCUUUGCAAACACCAUUGUUAUCUGAACAUAGCAUACAUGAGUUAGUAGACAUGGAUAUAUUUCUAAUUGCAAGUAGCAUACAACCAGCCUGCACCGACGCAGCUCAAUAUGCGAUAAUUUUUAUCUUCCCAUGUAAUUUUUCUACUCUAGUACAUAUUGAACUCCACAUAAAUGUGAUCUUUCACGCCACAGACGGUUCCUAAAGUUUGGAAACUAAAUAGAUAGCCAGAAAUUUUUUAGAAAGUAUUUAUAUGGAUACAUGUAUGUUCUUCGCAAACUAACAGUAUUGUUUACCAAUAUCAAAAGGAAUAUGGCUAGGAUCAUUGCCGCAUAUGGCAGGUGAUGGUAAAGUUAUCAACUGCAAAGUAUUAGGCCUCGUUGAGCUCUACAAUUUUGAUAUAAAGUUUCUAUUCAUCCGAGAUCAAAUGAAAAAGUUGGUACUCAAAACAUUCAUCCAUUAAUCUAGUCGUGCUAAUACUUAGCACUAAAUGAAAAACUAGCAUGUGUUGUGUGUUUGUGACCCUAAAUGAUCACAAAUGAAUAACUUAUGGGCGUUGCUAGCGCCCGGACGUAUGGUUCGGGGUGCUAGCAUCGGACGCACGAGCAGCCGUCCGAUCAGGUCCGACACCACUUCAGGAUCUGGCUCAAAAAAAAGUCCCACCGAAACAUUGUUCCAUGUUGCAUAAAAUAUCCCACUAUCCAUUGCUGGGUCUAGAGCAAGCACCAGCUUCCAAUAUGCUGCUCACCCAAGCUAAAUAGGGGCAUUAAAAUUGCAGAAAUAUGUCGCAUAUCCUUCUCAAAUUAAACUAAAUCACAACAUCCGAAAAUUUCUUACACAAAACCAUGAAACAUAUCGAUUAGAUAGGUGUAACAAGAUGAAAUAUGGUAUGCAACAUAUAGAUUCUGAAAAACAGAUGAAACAUUACUUAAUGAUUGUUGAAACAGUGGAGAAAAAUAGAUGUAACAUCUAAAAUUAAGAAAAGAAGCUUCAUGCAAAUUGCAAAAAGCUGAAAUAAGUGGUUGAAACAUUUCAAAUCACCAAAUGCCACAUUUGAAAUGACUAGAUGAAACAUCACAAAAUCAAUUGCAACAGUUGAAGAUGAAAACAUUCAAAUGCCUUGCCUUUCUCUAGAUUUGACCCUCAAGCAUGAGUCCAGCCAUUUGCACAUUAGACCCUUGGGAGGAGCUCACCGGAGAACAACAAGACCUUGUUCUCCAACAAUUUUCCGAUCAAAUUGCAACAUAAAAAAUAAAGCAUUGCAACAUCUGGCGGUAUCAUGAGCUACAACAUCAACCAGUUAGGAUCAGGAGAAAGACGGCAAACACAAGCCUAGCAAUGAGUUAUAUCCGGUUUAAACGAGGAUAAAAAUGAGUGUAUUUUCCACUCAUCAUGUUGUCUUUUCGCAGCUGUACCGCCUUUAGCUUGUUGUAUUGUUCCCCUAACACCAAGUCUCCGAGGUCCGUGAAAAUAAGGAAAGUGAUAGCAGCCCAGAAAUCGACCAAGUUUCUUUCCCCCUUUGGCUUUCCUACUAGGAUUCGGAAUCCUCUUUCGCAUGACAAUAUUAAUUAUCUCCCGUAGUCCAAAACUCACAAAAACAUUAAACAUCCUCCGAGAAUAAAUUAAGUAAAAAACAUGCACACACCAAUAAUAAUAAUAAUCUUGUUUCAAUAAAAUUGCUAAGGCCAGAGACAAUACAAAAACAUAUUAGACUGUUCAUGAAACAUAUCACGGUGGACAGUGUUUGUGUCCUUAUUACAAGCAGCGAGAGGAAUUAUAUAUGCUUGUCACCACACACGCGCGCGCACAGAUGCACGACAUACAUAUAGUUGAGACCAACAGAUGGAUCGACUAGAGGUGACCCCAUAUGGUGAACAAUUUAUUGGAGAUAAACAUUAACAUAACUUGGCCAUAGCUUGAAGCAUAGCAACAUAUGCGUAUGAAUGGCAUUGAUGCUAUCGUUUUAGGCUUGUCCAGAUAAUAAUAUCUGGUUUUAAGCAUAACAUGGUUUUUACUUAAUUUAUCUGUGCGUGCGAUAAUAAACCAGAUAAUAGCUUGAAACAUGUUGUGCAUUGGCACCACACGCACGAGAAUAAAUUAAGUAAAAAACAUGCACACAUAGAUAAUAAUAAUAAUCAAGUUUCAGUAAAAUUGCUAAGGCCAGAGACAAUACAUAAACAUAUUAGACUAUUCAUGACACAUAUCACGGUGGUCAGUGUCUGUGUCCUUGUUACAAGCAGCGAGAGAUGCUUGUCACCACACGCACGCGUGCACAGAUGCACAACAUACAUAUAGUUGAGGCUGCAAUUUAUAGGCAGCUGCGCUAUGUGAUGAUAUGGACAAGGUGCAAAUGGGUGGUCCUGAUAUGGAUAAGGUGCGAAUGGCUGUCUACUUGUAUUGUGUAGCUCCAAUGUACGUAUGUAUCUUAUACAUGUAUACAGUUGAUGGAUAAGGUAUACAGUCUUUGUUACCAAGUAAUUUUACUUUCGCACGUUUCAGCCGAGAGGCAGAAGAGAAUAUUUUACAGAGAGGGCAGAGAAGGAGGUUGGUAGGGUUCCCCGUGUCGCCAAGAUUUUUGCAUUUUACAUGUGUGUAUAGAUCACUUCGUCGUGCGGCGCCCUACUCCAGGUUGUACCCCAGCAGACCACGUUCUGUUUCUCUGCCUCCACAAGGACCACAAGACUUAGUAAAAAAAGCUAAACUUUGCAACACGAUGUAUACAGAAUUAGUAGCUAGAUCUAUAUAUGAAAUUCAUCCUAAAACUGAUAGGUGGAGAGAAGUAAAAAAUACCAAUUUGAUUUCCUAUCUGAUUAGAGGAAAUAUGGAUGGAUCGGUCGCAAUUAGCGAAGUGGCUCCAAUUGACAUAAAAGGUGUGCAUUGCAUUCAGCAAGAAAAAUUGAGUUUCUACUGAAUCUAUGAAAAAAAAUGAGCUUACGUUAUCAUAUAUAGGCAUAAAUUAAAAUGACAAGAAAUUCCAACCACGGUAUAUAAGACCAAUAAUUGGAAAGAUGGAUGAAAGGAAGAUAGGGUUUAAAUUAAAGUCUCCGCAUAGGCAGUUUGACUAUGAUCAAUUUUACCUGUAUUUCUCAAUAUGUAGAUAAUUCUAUGCCAACAAUUAAAAACUAAUACAUAAUUUGACACGGUGUACCUUGAGAACGUUUUGAAAAUGUACUCUCGUUAGGCGUUCACCUCCUUAACAAUAACUGCGACUGUAAAAUAGGUACAUCGACGCUAGCUAAAUAAACAACUAUAAGAUUUAGCAAGAGAUCAUUUUAUACAAUCCUGUAACGAAAGAAUUUGACAAUUAUAUUGUCCAUAUAUUUUGACGAAAAACAUCUAAAUUAUAUAAGGUGGGCCCGAAACAGUUGGAUUAGCAUAUGGUUACCCGUUUGUUGUCUUCCGGCCCUAAAAAAAGGACCAUCUUACUGAAAAAGGUUCUAUUAGCACAAGUAGAGAACUGACUUUCGAUGCACCCCCUUUUAUCCCGGUUUAAAGUAGGCCCGGGAGAAAAGGGGGUGCGCCAUGGUAGGCAAAAAUGGAGGGGAGAUUUACUCCCGGUUGGUAUUUGCAACCGGGACUAAAGGCCACCCUUUUGUCCCGGUUGGUGUUACCAACCGGGAUAAAUAGUUUACUCCCAGUUGGAGGUUCCAACCGGGACAAAAGGGCCACCAUUUUGUCGGCCCUUUUGUCCCGGUUGGAGCCUCAAACCGGGAGUAAACUUUCAACCGGGACAAAAGGUGUUUCUUUUUGUGUCGGUUGGAGUUUCUAACCGGGAUAAAAACUCAUCCCCAUUAUAUACCAAGACAGAGGUCUUUCUUCCUCCUCCAGCCCGAGCCAGUCCACCAUAAAGACAGAGAGCUCAGCUUCACCUACUCUCCGGUGGUGCCGAAGCAAGGGAGGUGCUGCCCGAAUUUUUUUUCCCUCAUUUUCGUGGGAAUUUCACUCAGCCAACACAAGUGUUGUGAAGGUUUGCUACUUCAUCCUCGUGUUACGCUUUAAUUUAUGCUUUGGAGAUGGAAAGUUUAUUUGCUAGAAUGUGAUGAAGUAGAAAAUGGAGAGGUACUUUGAGCUAGAAUGUGAGGGAGAUUGAUGUGUCAUAUAUAGUAUGUAUUCUUGCAGUGAUUUAAGAAUGAUGCUACCUUGUCUAGAUGGUUUAUCUUAUCAAAUUCAAUGUGGUUUUUCAAAUUCAUACUUAUUGAACUUGCAUACCGUGUUCAUGUCGGCGAGAAUGUUCUCCGCCGAGCAGCAACGUAUGUCAAGAAGGAGGUUUGAUUCUACGAGAAAGAGUGGAUACGGACAUCGUGACCGUAUCCCCUUUUUCGUAGAAUCGAACCUCUUUCAUGACGAAGUGCGGUGCCGCCCAGUUGAGAACAUGCUCGCCAGAUGAUCACGGUCUUCAAGUUCAACAAGUUCUGUAGGCAUACCGUGGUCAUCUCGGUAAGCAUGUUCUCCGUGGAGCAGCAACGGACGUCAAGGAGGAGGUUCGAUUUUACGAGAAAGAGAGGCAACAGACAUUGUGGAUGACUGUGUCCCCUUUCUCAUAAAAUCGAACCUCUUCCAUGACGAAGUACGGUGCCGCUCAGUUGAGAACAUGCUCACCGAGAUGAUCACGGUCUUCAAGUUCAACAAGUUCUGCAGUGCUAAGGUAAGAAUUUUUGUACAUAGAUGGCUUCUGCUACUAGAGGAAGUGGCGAUGGUGGGGGCGAUCGUCGUUCCUCUUUCGGCAAGGGGAAAAUCAUAGUUGGCCCUCAGGAUAAGCCGAAGAAAAUGAGCGCGUUGGAGAAAGCAAUGCUUCGUUAUUUGCAGAAACGUCAUGAAGAAGCUGUUGCCGCGGGUCAGGAACCUCCUUUUGGUGGUCGUUAUGCUCCACCCUCAGUCCCAGGUGUUUCACGUCCACUUAGUACUACCAUUUCAGGUGGCACAAAUAAACCACAGGAUGAGGCUGGGUCAGCGGAACCUUCAUCUUCACCGCCCAAGGAUGCUUAAAGUCCACCUAGAUAAUAACCAGUGGAUGACUUGUUGUAUUGUAUCAUGUUGUUUGGAUAUUUAAUUUAAAUAUGUGUAUUUGUAUCUAUAUCUAAACUUUCAGCAUUAUUUGCACUACAACGUUUGACAUGCUUUCAAUCAUGAAUCCAUUUUCAAGUGUAAUCAAUUUUCACGCGUAAUCCAUUUUCAAGUGUAAUCAAUUUUCACGCGUAAUCCAUUUUCAAGUGUAAUCAAUUUUCACGCGUAAUCCAUUUUCAAGUGUAAUCCAUUUUCAUGCGUAAUACGAUGCAGAUGGACCGGCAAUGGAUGUAUAAUGCAGACAGACGGAGCAAGGUGUUUAUUGAUGGCUUGCAUUAUUUUCUCGAAGUGGCCAAAGCGAACAAGCCAGAGAAUGGGUUCGUAUGUUGUCCAUGCUUCCAAUGCAAUAACAAGAAGGACUAUUCAAAGGAUUCCUGGGGGACUAUUCACAGCCACUUGUUUAGAUACGGUUUCAUGCCUAACUAUUUGGUUUGGACCAAGCACGGUGAAAGAGGGGUUGUAAUGGAAGAUGGUGAGGAGGAGGAGGAGGAUGGCAACAUUCCUGACUAGGUUGCAGGCCAAGCUUUUGCAGAUACUACAAUGGGCGAGGCUGAUGAAGAUGAGUUUGCAGAAAAUGGCCCUACGAUGACCUUGGUCAGGUGCUACGAGAUGCACACAGAGAUUGCGAAACUGAGAAGGAAGCAGCAAAGUUGCAGCGCAUGAUAGAUGAUCACCAAAAAUUGUUGUACCCAGAUUGCCAGCAGGGCCAUAAAAAACUAGGUACGACACUAGAAUUUGUGCAAUGGAAGGCAAAAAAUGUUGUGUCCGAUAAGGCAUUUCAGGGGAUGUUGAACAUUGUCUAGAAGAUCAGGCGAGAUGAUCCUGGUGAUGUCGAGGGGCAGUCUCCCAAGAAGAGAGUUCCCACGAAGGUGAUGUGGUAUUUCCCUAUAAUACCACGCUUGAAGCGCUUGUUCAGGAACAAGGCAAAUGCUAAGUUGAUGCGAUGGCACAAAGAAGAACAUAUGGAAGAUGAGAUGCUGAGACACCCCGUAGAUGGGGCCCAGUGGAGAUCAAUUGAUAGAGCAUUCCUGGACUUUGAAAGUGAAGCAAGGAACAUAAGGUUUGGUUUAAGUACUGAUGGAUUCAAUCCAUUCGGUGAGUUGAGUAGUGGCUAUAGUACUUGGCCUGUGACCCUAUGUAUGUUCAACCUUCCUUCUUGGCUGUGCAUGAAGCGGAAGUUUAUUAUGAUGCCGGCGCUUAUCCAAGGCCCAAAACAACCCGGCAAGGGAUAUGGAACAGAGGAGUUGAUCGAGUUUUGUGUUGAUUUUAUUGACUCAAUUGACUCGAUUGGGAUUCCAACUUCACGCCACGAGGGGAGGCUCCGGGGAAUGGGCACCCUUGGAAGGAAAUCAAGUUUGAGCAAUGAUACUGAUUUGUUCGACAAGGCACACUACACUGUUCUGCAAUAGUCAUCCUUUGUGUCUCCCUAUAUCGAGCAGCACAGGCAGAUGGUAGUUUUCCAAAAACCUGACGAAAUCCGAUGCUUGGCUUACACAUCAUCACAUGGAAACUUUUUCCUCCUGGUUGCGCCAACAACUCAUGGGUAACUCUGAGAUUUACCCACAGCUCGCUUGGUUAGCCAGGGGACCUGCUAGCACAAUCGUGAAAUUUCAAGACUAUGAGAUAAAUGGUUAUACAUUUUACACGAGAGCCUAGGACCAGAAAAGCACGAACAAGAAUAGUGGUGUCCGCAUAGAUGCCAUAGAUAGAAAUAAUAACAAGGAGUCGUAUUAUGGUUUCAUACAGGAGAUAUGGGAACUCGAAUACGGACCGCUGUACAUCCCUGUAUUUCUUUGCAAUUGGGUGAAGCUAACUGCCGUAACCAAAGAUCAGUACGGAAUGACAAUAGUAGAUCUGAGCAAGACUGGAUACAGUGAUGACCCAUUCGUACUUGCGAAUGAUGUGCAUCAGGUUUUCUAUGUGAAGGACAUGUCUAGCAAACCCAAGAGAAAUCCAGAAGAGACAUGGGAGCCAAAGUGCCACAUAGUUCUUCCAGGUAAAAGAAAAAAUCGUUGGAGUCGAGGAUAAAAUAGACCAAUCAGAUGAUUAUGAUCAGUUUGAUGGCAUGCCUCCAUUCGCAGUUGAAGUUGACCCAAGCAUCCUGGUAUCCAAAGAAGAGGCUCCAUACUUACGCCGGGAUCAUGAUCAAGGAACUUUCGUGAAGAAGAAAUUUUACAACGUUGUAUUGUAAUGCGCUAAAUUUACUUGACCUUUGUGAAGUACUUGAUACAAUUUUUAAUUUAACCUAUGUAUGAUUUCAUGUGUUCUUAAAUUUGUUGAGGUGAAGAUUUAUUAGAUAAACAUGAACAAUGUUAACCACAUACAUAUAUGGAUUUUUUUUGCGCGUUGAAAUUAUUUAAUUGAAUAAUUUCUCCAUCAUUGCGAUGUAGUAAAAUAAUUAUUUUAGAGGCUAAACGAACUGGUAUAGAAUUAAUGACUAAUUCACACUUAUUGUCAAUAUACUUGCUAAUUAAAUAUAUUUUUGCAUGUUCAAAAUAUGUGAAUUUUUUUGUUUUUGCAUCCUGAAAUGCAGUGAAAACAUACAUAAAAUCCUUUUCCAAAAAAUAGGCGGGAGAUGAAAGUGUGGGAAAAGGCCCUUUUGUCCCGGGUGCCAAUAGAAACCGGGACAAAAGGACCUUUUAUCCCUGUUGCCAACUACAACCGGGAUAAAAGGGUAGUUUUCGUUUCCCGCCGGGGACGUACCCUUUUAUCCCGGUUACAGUUAGCAACCGGGAUAAAAGGGGGGGCCCUUUUGUCCCGGUUGGUGUUGGCACCCGGGAUAAAAGGGCCUUUAGUCCCGGGUUCAAUUACGAACCGCGAUAAAAGCGGGGAGGGAUAAAAGGCACUGUAGCCUCUUCUACCACCACCCCACGCUAGUUACGACACUUAGCCAAAUUUUCACCGCUGCCAAGAUCCCGCGCCCUUCCGCCAGCUCCGUCACCGCCCAUCCGCCUCCCUCGCCGGCCGCCGUCGUCCUCGUCGUCCAUCGCCCCGGCCAUCAUCGUCCCGCCGCCCGACCGCCUCGCCCGCGCCCAGACCACCUCCUCCUCCAUCGCCCCGGCCCGCCUCCGAUCCUCCUCCGUCGUGCCCCCUCGACCUCGUCGCAGCCGGCCGCCUCCAUCGCGGGGCCUCGUCCCCGCCUCAGUCAACGCCACAUUCUCUGUCGCCGCCUCAUCACCGCCUCUGUCGCGCGCGCCGCCUCCGUCCCUCGUCGCCGUCCGCCUCCGCCCGUUGUUGCUGUGGCCACCUCGCUCCGUCCCCGCCUCCGCCGUCCCACCGCCCCGGCCGCCGCCGUCCCGCCGUCCCGGCCAUCUCGUCGCCCAGCUAGGCACCGCGUGAGGUCCGCCGGCACUGGCACCGGGAAUGAACAGCUCUUGCUGACGCAAACCCACCGGCUUGCGUAAGCAAGGACCUUUUUUAUUUUUUAGUUAGAAAAUGAAUAGAUAUUAGUAGAUUAGUUAGAAAAUCAAUAGAUAUUUGUAGAUUAGUUAGAAAAUCAAUAGAAAAUCAGUUGAUAAAUUUUGUAGAAAUUCAUUCAAAUUACUAGGAAUUAGUUGUAAUUUGCUAGAAAUUCCAAUAAAUAUGUUGAAAUAAGUAGAAAUUUGGUAGAAAUUCUUACAAAGUACUACUAAUUUGUUGAAAUUUGUAUAAACAUUCCGAACUCUGUGGGAUUCAUGUUAUUGUAAAAUUAUUAGGCAUUAGUAGAAAUUUUGUAGAAAUUCCAAUAAAUAUGUAGAAAUUAGUAGAAAUUUUGUAGAAAUUCUUACAAAGUACUACUAAUUUGUUAAAAUUUGUAUAAACAUCUCGGAUCAGCGCUUGGUUUGUUGAAAUUUGUAUAAACAUCUCGGAUCAGCGCUUGGGUUUUGUAAGUGUCCAUUUAUCUACAUGUAAAUUUUGCCUCAUAUCAUUAUUUUUUUUGCGUGCGUCACCGUACUAACUUCAUCUUCCAUUUUAUGUAUCAUGCUAAUUCAGAUGUGCCGACGAGAGGCGUACCUACAUAUUGGCUUCAUGGAUCCAUCCGUAGUUAACCAAAAACAGAUACAAUUAUCGCCGGAAAAAACCUUGGUGGAAGUAUACAAUUUCCUAGACAAACAAAAAUUCAAGGAUUUCAUACUACUUCCAUACAACUUCAAGUAAGUGUGUGUAUACCAUCUACUUUCGUUGUCUUUUUCCUUACCUGAUUAAUUAGUUAGCUCUAAUAUGCAUGAACAUUUUACGUACGCAGCUUCCACUGGAUCCUCAUUAUAAUUGAGCUUGAAAGAAGCCACGUCACUGUCUUCGAUUCGUUGAGGAAAGAUCCGGUGGAGUACCAAGACAUGCAAGACAUGCUAGGCUUGUAAUAAUUCUGGACCUUUAUCUCUAUGCAAAAGUUUGUUUCCUAAAUUUUAUCCCUGUUACACUAUAUCAUUCAUUAUUCUAAUCCGCAGCGCAUGGAAACAAUUCAUAAGGACACACAAAGGUCCAUUCAAAGAAAAACUUACAUGGAACACAGACUUCCCGGUACGUAUGAAGUCUGCACAUUUAGUACAUUGUAUAACACGAAUAUUUUAUAACUUAUUUUUUUCGACACUGAAGUCCUUAAGAUAGGAACUCGGGAAUAAUCUAUGUGGCUACUACAUCUGUGAGCACAUGCACAGUUUUAUGGGACCCAAGGGACUAAAGCUGACGCCGCACAACUUUAAAGUACGUAAAAUAAAACUACUACUAGUUAAUUAUUUUCUAGCUCCUUAUAUUUAAUUGUUCGUGUAACAUUCACAAAUUUCCAAAUUAUAGAUGUUAAAUAUUCAACAAGGACUCUUGAAGAAAAAAAAGGGUAGCGGCAAUAUGUGAAGGUCUCGUUGGAUUCCUAAUGGACGAUGUAGUAAAUGCACAAGGAGAAUUUUAUUACGAUGGACGACAAUUAGACGCUCCGAGCAACACCUCGACGGGAAGAUUGUAGAUAUAUAGUUUGAUUUGUAUACAUAACACGCGCUAAGAUCGAUUUGUAUAUAUAGUUGAUUUCAUUAUACUAGUUGAAUUAUGUAUAUGAAUUGUGUAUAUAUAGUAAUUGUAUAAUUACAAAUUUCAUUCGUUUAAAUACUAGUUGAUUUCAUUAUAAAAAAAGUCUCAACUACUAAAGGUUAACAAAAGGGCCGCGGUACUACGUACGUGAUGCAUGAAAAUUUCAGAUGCCAUGCAGGAAAAUUUAAAUAGGACUUUAGUCCCGGUUGGGAAACCCAACCGGGACUAAAGGGGCACCCUUUACUCCCGGUUGCUUUUACCAACCGGGAGUAAAGGGCCUGUCCCGCGCCAACCGGGACUAAAGGGUGACCUUUACUCCCAGUUGAAGGACCCGGGACUAAAGACCCCCCCUUUUGUCCCGGUUGGUUUAUCCCGGAUGGAUUUUCGAGAGAUAUGCACCCUACCAACCGGGACUAAAGGCGAGUUCUCUACUAGUGUAGGCCAUGCAGCCGGCUCUGUGGUACCAAAAAGAAAUUUUUGACAUGGUUUACAUCGAGAACGUUUUGAAACUAGACUUUGGUACGCAGUUCACCUUCUUAACAAUAACGGCGUACAUAGACGCUAUCUAAAUUGACCACUUUAAGAUUUAGCGAGAGAUCUAUUUUUUUAAUCCCGUAGCGAGAUCUAUUUUUAUAAUCGCGUAGCGACUGUACGAAGGACUGAAAAAUAAGUUUGAUUACCGUAUAUAGUUAGCCAACUCGUUAAUGGAAUAAACGAUAGAGUUCUGCGAGGCAGACUAGCCUUUCACACGCACCAACUGAACCAGCUGGCAUGAUGUAUUUGAUCUUACUCCCUUGGUCCCAUGGAAAGGUAGAAAUAACCAUAUAUAGGCAUGUAAUUAUCAGUUAUACUUAUGGGAUACUUAGAUGACUUGAUGUAUGAAUCAAGAAAAUGCAUCGAUCGAGAACUUACGGGGAUCAUCUCAAUAAUUUAGAGACCAUGCGCAUAUAUAUUGUGGAAGGUGUGCGUGAGGGUCGUUAUCUAUAUCCUGUGUUAGAAAAAGAUUGCAUAUAUAGUUAAUGUUUGUCUUUCUUCGGAUGGCACGUUAGCUGACCAUUGACAACAUGUGAUGAUUUUACUAACAUCAAAAUUAGGCAUGCCCCAUUUUUUAAUUGGUGCAUGGAGUGGGAGGUUUUGGUGGGUGAGCAUUGGUGUGCAACUCGUGUGCGUGAGCAUGUGUGCGUAAGAUAAUGUGUUUUGUUAGAAAAAGAAGAUAAUGCCUCUAAACAAUCCAGAAUAGAAGGCGGGCCCUGACGACAAGAUAAUACCUUACGCGGCGAUGUCUCAACGUGUCACCUGGGGCGGCUUUUGCAGUUUCCCCGUACACACACUAAGAGCCUCCGACCCUUUUUUGUCAAACCUUCUCUUGUAGUCAUGCAUAUAUCCAUGAUGAUUUGAGUCUACUGAUUGACAGUUAGAUAUUUUGCUUGUUUGUGAGAAUUUUUAGUUUCUAUUUUUUUAGAGUGUCCACCUAGGAUCCUAGGUGGCUUCACCUGAAAGCUUCAAAAGAAGCGUCCAAAUUAGUAAUCAUAAGAUUUUCUCAAAAGAGACUUAAUUCUACCACUAUACCUUGAUUGGCGGCCCGAGCCUCUACCUUUGUCUCCACUUGACUAUUUGAGUUGGCUCAGAACGGUUCACCGCGCUAGCAACGUUACGUUUGAUCCCAAUGCCACCACUCAUGUGCGCCACCUGUAUCUACCAAGUGGCAUGUGGUAAUGCCAUGUUUGUUUUAAUUUCGUCCAUCAGCAUUCACAAUGAUAUCAUCACCAUUAUGUAAUUAUCCCACUUUUAAUUUUCUUGCAACUCUGUGAAGUUAACAGUCUCUGAUCAAGUUUCCGAGGAUUGCUAUAUCUUUGUUUAUUAUCUACGGAAGUUGACAGCACAUCCACCAUAAUUCAUGGCCCACCAGACUCUAAGUCCACUGCGAGUAUAUAUUAAUUUGUUUUAAUCCGACUAUACUAGAUGUGUACCAAUCAUUCGAUAUGAGGGACGAACUAAUUGUUUCUUGUCGACUAUUGCACCGUACCUCUCGUUUUCCAAACAAUUAAAAGGUACCCUUCCGUGAUGGUUGUACCGAUACCGACUAUCUAUAUUAUUGCUUUCUUGAGCAUACCAAACGAGUUAAUUGGUAUGAUGAUGUUAUAGCUCAUUUAUAUAUGCUUAAAUACAUACACCGGUAGAAAACUCGCCUUUAGUCUCGGUUGGUACGUGUUAGACACCUAAUCCUUGCAUUGAUGGCUAAUCCUUCCAGCUUUUGUCUUCACGCACGCAUGCAUUGAUAGCCUCCUGCGGAUGGCCUUUCAGCUACUGCGCCGUUCAACUUCUGUGGCCUGUCCGGCUUCUUCCUUUCCCCAUAUAAUGUAAUACGUUCAACUCAAAUGAAUGAAAUCAAAUUAUGCGUGUAUUAUUCUCGCUUUCAGUAGGGGCCAAAUCUCCCGAAAAUCCAUCCGGGAUAAAGAUGAGAAAUUAAUCCAUGCGUGGCUUCAUGCAAAUUUGUUCAGAUCAGGUUUGAACAGCAUGUAAUCUUUUUCAGGCAUCUAUAUGGAGCGUGGGUGUGUUAUGUUAUCUUCUACUACACAUAUAACAUUAAAUUCAUUCAGUUUGGCUGAGAGCCCAAAAUGCAACGAAUAUGCCAUCCAACGUGAAAAAAAGAUGUGGAACAGUAUACUCUAUCUUCGAAAUUAAUUAACGAGAUUCAGCUUCAAAAGAGAUAAGAGCAGACAAGAGGCACAUGGGUGCAUGCAUCCACACCUUGGGAUGCUGCAAAAUUUGGGAUCACGUGUGCGGAUCCCUAAUUAGGAAAAAAGAAUAAUUGUGCUAGCAAAAUGUGGAACACGACUGCCGGCCCAGUUGGCGCUAAGACAUCGUACGUGCAUUAAGUCUGAGGUGCCCAACGAUCUCUUUCUUUAACUCAUGCUUGACUGUGACGGUGCUAUUAUAUAAUAUUGCAUGAUCAUCAUGAUAAGAUCGUAUAGUGACUGAGUGAGACAUGUACUAUAACUUGCAUUUAAGCCUCGAACUGUGUGUCGUUACGUGAGCUGCCUCCUCUCCUCGCCUCUGAAUUAUUGAACCGUUUCCAACAGUGUUGGUCUCGACGAAAUUUGACGCCAACCAGAUUUAUGAAGAAAAGAGAAUAAUACUUGGAAUUGGGAAAAGUUGAUCUCUCUUUACAAUGGGUAGGUGCUCCCCUUUUAUAGUGACCCAUGAGCCACUUUACAUUCCGAAAAUAUCCUUUCUCAACCACUACAUUCCUAGGAUAUGCCGUACAAAUUGAACUCUUCCACGUGGUCACAUUUCUCACACCUCCUGUUUUCCAACCUCAAGACUUCAUCUUCACGCCAAGUUGAUCAUCUAGCCUCGAGGCUCCAUCCACGAUCUGGAAUGAACGUCCAGCUCGAGGCUCCUGCUUGUUAGAAGAACCGUCGUAUGAGACGAGGAUUGUAUCUUAGAGAUAAGAGUUGUUAUGGUUUGAGUUGGCCGGCUAGUAGAUAGAGAUAGAAUCUUGAUGUAUUUGAAUGCUGGCUAAACUUUAUCUAUAACAACAUGCAUUGUAAUCUGUUGGGACUUUCCCCCUAUAUAAACGUGCAACCACGGCGAGCCAAGAUAGGGCAACCGUGUUCAACUCUUUUGACAUGGUAAUCAGAGCCUUUCUUCCAUAAAAUACAUCUACAUCUACACCACCUGGCGCACGCCACCUUGCAUGCAACAGUCAUGGUGUCAUCAUCGUCGUUGUCAGCCACUACGCCCACGGCGGCGCAGCUUGGAGCUCCUGUAGCUGAAAAGCUUACAGGGGAGAAUUAUGUCUUAUGGAAGGCUCAAUUCUUGCCUGCUGUGCGGGGUGCGCAGCUCAUGGGAGUCCUCAACGGAUCUGUCAAGGAGCCGGCCAAGACCAUGGAACUGGUGAAGGCUGACGGCAAGAAAGGGUAGCAUGACUUCAUCAACUUACUACACCAAGAUGUCUUAGCUGGGCUCUAGCCCCGAUCUUGCCAUGCGCUCCGCGAGCUCCAGUGCGUUGUCGACAAGCCUGAGCCGCGUGCAGCACAUGAGCACCGCGUUCCACACGACCGCCGUGGCCUCCAUCGUCUCAGCACCCAUGUGGCCACAGCCACGUCCGUGUUCUCGACGUACAUGCCGGCGAGGAACCCGGGAACGAGCGGGUGCGCGUCGACGUGGUGGGGAGCGUGGCAGCGGCAGCUUUGCUCGAUCUGGCGGCCGGAGAGUGGGACGAGACCACCACGGGGGAGACGGUCGGUGGUGGUGGCGGUGGCAAUGGGAGGAAGGCCUUGGAGAUCAAGGGAUCCAAGGGCCCCUUCCAAGAGAGAAGGGAGAUCGGGGGAGGAGACCGAUGGAGGGGAGGCGGGAGGGAGGAUCGCCGGCAGCGGGGGUAAGGAGAAAGAACAGGCGCGCGGGAGGGAGUCACGGUGCCGGAGACUCGGGAGAAAAGAAGCGAAUCAUUUUUGUGUAACCAGUGGUAUUGGUAGGUAAUUACCCACCAACUCCACGAGGAGGUUCAUAUUGGGUAGUUUUGGAGUUGCAAAAGAGGUGCUCCAAAACUCCACCCCCAUUUGCACUACAGCUCCAUGGAGUUUUGGAGUUGGGGUGUUUGGCUGUAAAAUUGGCUAGAGUUGUUGGAGGUCAGCUCCAGAGCCAUGCCAAACACGCCCUAAGGAUCAGGAAACGAGGAAAAUCCUUCAUCAAGGUAGAUGCAAAAGCGGGCCUUUAUCCAUUAGAAUCCAUCUUGUCAGAAGAAGGCGAUGACAAGAGAGUUUAUGGUGCCAUCAAACCAUCUGCUUCUAGAUGGCAUAGCCGCUUAGGCCAUCCAGCUUAUCCUAUUAUUCAGCGUGUGCUUAAUCAUCAUAAUCUUCCUUGUGGUAGUACUAAUUUUGAGUCAGUUUGUGAUUCAUGUCAAAUGGCUAAAAGCCAUCAACUUCCAUAUUCUAGUUCAAUAAAUUCGUCAAAAGCUUCGCUUGAUCUUAUUCAUUCUGAUGUUUGGGGGCCUGCACCUAAUUCUGUUGGUCGAUAUUCCUACUAUGUGAGCUUUAUUGAUGAUUAUAGUAGGUUCACCUAGAUUUAUCUCCUGAAAAAGAAAUUUGAUGUCUUUCAAGUGUUCAAAGAAUUUCAGAAUCUAGUGGAGCGAAAACACAAUAAGAAAACUGUAUCCAUGCAAACUGACUGGGGAGGCGAAUAUGAGAAGUUGAAUUCCUUCUUUCAGCAAAUUGGUAUAGCACAUCGCGUCUCAUGUCCUCAUGCCCACCAGCAAAAUGGCCUCGUCGAGAGAAAGCAUCGUCAUACUGUUGAAGUUGGUCUCGCUCUUCUCGCAAAUGCUUCAAUGCCUUUAAAAUUUUGGGAUCAAGCUUUUUUGACGGCCACUUAUCUCAUUAAUAUGCUUCCCAGUAAAAUUCUUAAUUUUGAUACUCCUACAGAACGCUUGCUCCAAGAAAAGCCUCAUUACAGCUCUCGUCGCAUUUUGGGGUGCGCUUGUUGGCCUAAUUUGUGACCCUAUAAUACUCACAAGCUAGCUUUUCGUUCCGUUAAAUGCACCUUUCCUAGUUACAGUUUCAUGCAUAAAGGCUUCAAGUGCUUAGAUCCCUCUACCGGCAGAAUUUAUAUCUCCCGAGAUGUUGUUUCGAUGAAUCGAUCUUUCCGUUUGCUCACUUACAUCCCAAUGCAGGCGCCCUUCUCAGUAAAGAGAUUCUUCUUUUACCUGACCAUCUUCGUAAUCCGGGGGAUGUAAGUUGCAUAGACAAUAUUACUAUACUACUGACCGUUUGCAUGAUAGCAAUGCGCAAGAUGUUUUUCAGGGGAAACUGUCACCGGGCUGGGCGCACGGUGACGCAGAAAAUCACGGCGGCACAUUCCAGGAGGAUUUGAUGCCAGGUGCCGACGGUCCAGGCGCUGACUCCCAGGGAGAUUCGGCGGCAGCAUCCGUUUUGCUCCCCUCCUUCCCAGCAAUGCCCAUCUCGCCGAAUACAUCUCCAACGCGUGGCUCCACGACAUGCCCAGCGCCCGCACCCGGCACUCCUCCGUCGCCGCAUGGCCCCGCACCUGGCCAAUCGCCUGCGCUAGCCGCCGGGAGUCCGACGCGUGGGGGGGGGGGUACCCAUCUAUCGCGCCAGACAGUCUCCCACCCGUGCCUGCUGCCCCGAAUCGUGCUAGCGCUGGAUCCUCUGCGGGAAGCAGAUCCGGUGUGGAAUCUAUGCCUGGUCAGGCCAGUUCUUUGGCGCUGGCUGCCCCUGCACCGUCUGUUUCACUGCCAAGACAACGGACACGGCUUCAAAGUGGAUUACGAAACCUACAUAGUUCCAGGACAUGAUCAGGUAUGGGUUGUUCUUAGCUUCUGCGGAACCACAGGAUUUUCAUGAAGCUCUAAAUGAUUAUAGAUGGAAAAAAGGCUAUGCAAGAUGAAUUUGAUGCUCUCAUUAGAAAUCAAACUUGGCACUUAGUUCCUGAAAUAAAGGGUAACAAUAUUAUUGAUUGCAAGUGGGUAUUCAAAAUCAAGAAAAAAUCAGAUGGUACCAUAGAUAGAUAUAAAGCAAGGCUAGUUGCAAAGGGUUUUCAGCAACGGUAUGGCAUUGAUUAUGAGGAUACUUUCAGUCCAGUGGUUAAGAUUGCAACUGUCAGGCUUGUCCUCUCAAUUGCUAUUUCGAAAGGGUGGUGUCCAAGAUAGUUAGAUGUAUAGAAUGUGUUUCUUCAUGGUGUUCUGGAAGAAGAAGUUUAUAUGAGGCAACCUGCAGGAUUUGAAAAAGGAGCUUUGCAUCUUGUGUGCAAAUUGGACAAGGCUAUCUACGGCUUGAAACAAGCCCCGCGAGCUUGGUAUGCUAAGUUAUGUUCCAAACUUAUUGCACUUGGAUUUGUUGCAUCUAUAUCAGACACUUCGUUAUUCAUCUAUCAAAGAUUGGGUGUCAUAAUUUAUAUGUUGAUUUAUGUUGAUGAUAUAAUUGUGACAAGUUCGUCAAGUGAAGCUGUUACGACGUUGCUUGCUGAUCUCAAGAAGGAUUUUGCUCUAAAAGAUCUGGGGGACCUCAGUUACUUCCUGGGUAUUGAAAUUAAAAGAGAAAAGAAUACUCUGCUGCUAACACAAGAAAAGUAUGCAAAGGAGAUUUUGUCACGGGUUGGUAUGGAGAAUUGCAAACCAUCAUCUACACCAUUGUCUACUAGUGAGAAACUUUCAAAGUAUGAAGGGGAGUUGCUGAAUUCAAGCGGUAGUACGAGGUACAGAAGCGUCGUUGGUGCAUUGCAAUAUCUCACUCCUACCUGACCGGAUCUAGCAUUCUCUGUGAACAAAGUGUGUCAAUUUCUACAUGCUCCUACCACGGUUCAUUGGACUGCUGUAAAAAGGAUACUUCGGUAUGUCAAGUUCACAUUGGAUCUUGGACUAAAUUUUCAGGCGUCAUCCUCCACCUUGGUUAUUGCUUUCUGUGAUGCUGAUUGGGCAGGAAGUGUUGAUGAUAGAAGAUCUAUCGGAGGGUUUGCAGUUUUCUUUGGUCUGAACUUGAUUUCUUAGAGUGCUAGAAACCAAGCCACUAUCUCAAGAUCAAGUACAGAAGUUGAAUACAAGUCUAUGGCAAAUGCAACUGCAGAGUUAAUAUGGUUGGAAUCCUUGCUAAAGGAGCUGGGUAUACGGCUGCAUCAACCACCAUGUUUACAGUGUGACAAUUUGGGAGCUACAUAUUUGUCUGCCAAUCCAGUCUUUCAUGCGAGAGCAAAGCAUAUAGAAAUUGAUUUUCACUUUGUUCGCGAGCGUGUGGUUAAUAAAAAGCUGCAGGUGCUGUUGGUUGCUUCCAGAGACCAGCUUGCGGACUGUUUACCAAAGCCUUGCCGUGCGGAUUGCUGGAAGCUUUCAAGAGCAAUCUAAAUAUCAAAAGGAAGAGAAGUUUAGAUUGAGAGGGACUGUUAGAAGAACCGUCGUAUGAGACGAUGAUUGUAUCUUAGAGAUAAGAGUUGUUAUGGUUUGAGUUGGCCGGCUAGUAGAUAGAGAUAGAAUCUUGAUGUAUUUGAAUGCUGGUUAACUCUAUCUGUAACAACAUGCAUUGUAAUCUAUUGGGACCUUCCCCCUAUAUAAACGUGCAACCACGGUGAGCCAAGAUAGGGCAACCGUGUUCAACUCUUUUGACACUGCUUCGUUAAGCUUUGUUGAGAACUCAUAAACUCACAUAGUUCUCCUUUGAGUAUUGUUCCUAACUAAAGAGUAAACAGGUAAAAGCUCGGUGCCCGGAACCGACUCAGAACACUCGAGGCUUAACUUAGUUGGAGUUUAGCUAUUACCAUUGCCAGUGACCAGCCUCGAGCCCCUCUAGAAGCAAGGUGAUGCGAGGGUGCGAGUUUUACUAUAAGAGGUGUCCCUAUAGAACGUGCGAGGUUAAAGGUGUUCCGUUACUUUUCCUGCCGACGCAUAACUUGCAAGGUUAAGGGGUUUUUAUCCCACAAACGGUGCUCCAGGAUGUUCAGAUUUUUGGGAUCCCCAACAAACAGCAAUCUUGAGUGGCUCUAAAUUGUUGUUGGCCACAUCAUACCUUGUCUUGGGCUGCUGGGUCGUGUUGUGCACCACGAGUGCACGAUCAGACAUCCUGCACUGUUAAGUCUUCGAUGAUACGGCUGCCUUGCUUCCUCAGCUUGUCAGCAACUGCUUCUUGACUGCUACAGUACAAUUAUUGCAUGGUAUCAAGGUAAUAUAUAUAGUGACUGAAUGAGCACAUAUAACAUAUGCAUUUAGGCCUCCAACUGGUCAUUGCACGAGCUGCCUCCUCUCCUUACCUCUGAAUUAUGGAGCCAUAUCCAACAACAACCUUGACAGUGAUGAUGAUGACGACGAUGAUGAAAUUAAGAAAAGAAGCUUUAUGCAAAUUGCAAAAAGCUGAAAAAGUGGUUGAAACAUUUCAAAUCACCAAAUGCCACAUUUGAAAUGACUAGAUGAAACAUCACGAAAUCAAUUGCAACAGUUGAAGAUGAAAACAUUCAAACGCCUUGCCUUUCUCCAGAUUUGACCCUCCAAGCAUAUAUGAGUCCAGCCAUUUGCACAUUAGACCCUUGGGAGGAGCUCACCGGAGAACAACAAGACCGUGUUCUCCAACAAUUUUCCGAUCAAAUUGCAACAUAAAAAAGAAAGCAUUGCAACACAUCUGGCAUCGCGAGCUACAACAUCAACCAGUUAGGAUUAGGAGAAAGAGGGCAAACCCAAGCCUAGCAAUGAGUUAUAUCCGGUUUAAACGAGGAUAAAAAUGAGUGUAUUUUCCACUCAUCAUGUUGUCUUUUCGCAGCUGUACCGCCUUUAGUAUGUUGUAUUGUUCCCCUAACACCAAGUCUCCGAGGCCCGAGAAAAUAAGGAAAGUGAUAGCAGCCCAGAAAUCGACCAAGUUUCUUUCCCCCUUUGGCAUUCCUACUAGGAUUCGGAAUACUCUUUCGCAUGACAAUCAUAAUUAUCUCCCAUAAUCCAAAACUCACAAAAACAUCAAAAAUCCGCCGAGAAUAAAUUAAGUAAAAAACAUGCACAAACAAAUAAUAAUAAUAAUCAUGUUUCAAUAAAAUUGCUAAGGCCAGAGACAAUACAUAAACAUAUUAGACUGUUCAUGACACAUAUCACGGUGGACAGUGUCUAUGUCCUUAUUACAAGCAGCGAGAGGAAUUAAAUAUGCUUGACACCACACACACGAGCGCACAGAUGCACGACACACAUAUAGUUGAGACCAACAGAUGGACCUCGACUAGAGGUCGCCUCAUAUGGUGAACAAUUUAUUGGAGAUAAACAUGAACAUAACUUGGCCAUAGCUUGAAGCAUAGCAACAUAUGCCUAUGAAUGGCAUUCAUGCUGGUAGCAAUGCAAUCAUAUCGUUUUAGGCUUGUCCAGCUUCUUCCAUCUUAGCAAGCACUGCCAUUUCUUCCAUCUUAGCAGCAACUGUCAAAUUGAGAUAUGGUAUCCCAUUAGCGUAUGAGUUAAUUUUGCACUGGAAAUAGAGUACAAGAUGUCUUCAUGAUGUAAGUAAUAUGCCUGAAGUUGUGAGAUGGGAAGUGAAGUCAACAAAUUACAUUAACGGAAAUGCAUGGAAGGCCACACAUACGUAUUAGUCCACGAUAUGCUACAAAGCUUGUAUGUACAUAUAACAAAUUAAAUGCAUUGAAUAGAGUGAGUUUACUGAAUUUACCAGAAUCGGACAGAACACAUGGGAAACAGCAAGUGUUCUUGCAGAGUGAGUCGGAGCCACCUGCAGUAAUACAAGCAAAACAACAUGCUUUUGCCCGGGCGGAUACGCAGCAGCUGCACUGUGCCGCGGUGGCCGGGUUAACAUUGAGGCUCAAGAUGACCAGGCACAUGAUCACCAUCAAAGCGGUAGUCCUCUUUCCCUCCAUUGCCUCCUCUUGCUGCUACCUUCCUUGGUUACCUAGCUAAGUUUAUUGGUUUUGUGUUGAGAGGUGAUUCUUGAAUGGACGUUGCCGGCUGCAAUUUAUAGGCAGCUGCGCUAUGUGAUGAUAUGGACAAGGUGCAAAUGGGUGGUCCAAUGGCAAGGAAAGGGGGUAUUCUGCUUGACAUUGGCAUCAGACAAAGCCCAAUGGCAACUGCUGACACGCGAUUAAAAUCAGAUCCACAUCUUAUCCAGCCAUUCACUAAUAAUUAAACUAAACCCACGCGGUCCGCGAGAUGCAGCGUCCAUGCAUAGCACUUCCCGCAAACAAUAGGAAAAAUUAGAAUUCAGAGAUAGCAGCUGCUUGCAUGAAACACGGUUGCACAGAAAUCAGUGGUGCUUGGACGGUAAGUAGUGUGGUGUACAAGCUUAAAGCGGCAGUGAGUCACGUUGGUGUAACAAGCAGUACAUCAGCUGGAAGAUUGAUAUGUCUAUUGCCCACGCAGCAUAGCAUUUUAUUAUGAUACAUUGAGUUAUGUCAUAUUGUUACUUUAAGUUAUUUUUUAAGUAUUAGUUGUAGACAAUUUAGUUGCAAAUUUAAGCGGUUAUUUUAAAUUAUUUUUUAUAAUGGAAUAAGUGGGUAAUUUAGAUGAAGAUUAGGGGGUUACUUUAGCUUAUUUUAUAUAAUAGCAGAGGUGGGUAAUUUAGAUAUAAAUUUAGACACGUUUAACAAAAUGUAUCUACAGUUUCUGACACGGUCCGUGUGGAGACGCUCCAGACAUGCUUUACUCAAGCGCAUCUAUACUUCAGUAGAAAUGAAAUAAAGCGUAUCUAACAUAGGAAUAAAGUGUAUCUAGAGGAGGUUUUUCUUGUAGCGAGGGAUGAACCAUUAUUGGACGAACUGGCACACUUGCUUCUACCCGCUCCCCCACACCCCACAACCGCCCCCAGUGUGAGCGUCCAAGUCUCGAUCGUUGCUCGCGUUAAGCGGUGCCGCCGCACUGCACCACAGCGACAGAAGCCACACCACCGGCUGCAUGUGACAGCGGGGAGCACCCUCACCACCUGCCCGCGGGGAGCGCUUACGCCAGCCAUAGUGUCCCCGUAGAACCGCCACGCGAGCAUGUGAGCCACCGACCGCCGUGCCCCCAAGGGCCAUCACCGCGCUACCCGAGGAUGUUGUCUACCCGGUGCCACGCGCCUCUGCUAGGUGCCUGCACCUGGGCCGCCACCGGUCGCCUGCACAGCCACGUGUUGCAGCUGCCCCCUGCGCUGAGCCACCCCAUUAAACGUUGGAAGAACCACCUGAGUCUCGCACGCCGAGGUCUUGCUGGUGACGACCAUGGCCUCCGCGAUCAUAUGAAAAAGUUGUCAACUACAAAGUAUUAGGCCUCGUCGAGCUCUACAAUUUUGAUCGAAAGUUUCUAUUCAUCCGAGAUCAAAUGAAAAAGUUGGUACUCAAAAUAUACAUCCAUUAAUCUAGUCGUGCUAAUCCUUACCACAAAUUAAAAAACUAGCAUGUGUCGUGUGUUUGUGACCCUAAACAAUCACAAACGAAUAACUUAUCAACUUCAAAAUUUAGCUGAUCAGGAGUCUAGGCAACCUCAAGGGUAUAAAUAUGUGCACCCUGAGGCUUGCAAGAUUUUAUCUCUCGAUUAAUCAAUGCAAUUUUUGGGCGCCACGCAGCCAAACCCUUAGGAGUAGAAGUAACGUAGCUUUUUGAUGAGUAUCUUCUUGCGCGCAGGGCUGCAUCAGCUUCGAUAUCCGACGAACUUGUAAGUACCGUCAUCCGGUCAUUACGUUAUCUAUAUUAAAAGUUUCUAGGCAUCAUCCAAUAUUCUAAUCUUUUAUCGUGUGGCUAAUUAUCGAGUUAUCUUAUAUUGUAAAUAAAACUUGCUAGGGUUUGUCCAAUAUUCCAUUUGUUUUCAGCGUUACUGCUUAAUUAGAUCUGCUUAGGUUGUUCUCAUCGGCUUCUAGUCUUGUUUAAACGUUCACAAGUUAUUUGAUCGUAUCGGCAAGUUCGACCUUGCAUGCUUUUAUCGCUUUAUCUAUACUAGGUCCGAUAGAUCUUUACCCCUUCCCCUUGUAUUGCUAGCAGUUGGAUCCAUAACGUUAGAACGAUACUGUUGAGAGCUGAUGCAUUGAUUUAGUAUCAUCCAUAUCUCAUAGAAUGUAUCAUGGUUAAUGGCAAUUUAAUGAAAUUAUAAAGGAUAAUAACAAUCGUGCUUUCGGCGUUCCAAAAAUCAAUCAAGAAUUCAUCAUGGUUGUGCAGUGUAUGGAAACCUUAUGGUAAUAGUUAGAUGGGAAAUGUUGUAUUAUGUAAUAAAUCCAGGUACUUCACAAAUCAUGAUCGAUGGAUGUCUAACACUGUUGAAAGAGAUUGGAAUAAAGCAGACUCACCUCAGACUAUGCACCAUGUCUGAGUGACCCACCUCACCUUGCCAGGUCACUGGUCUUGCCAGCACACAAGCUAUGAUGUUGCCAGGAGUGGUCAGUACACAAAUCUAGCUACCAGUCGGAUCGAAGGGCAGGCAUUUGCAUUGUGGUUGUGCUUGAACAUGGAGAUGUCUUGCGAUUGUCACGCACCAUACAUCCUCUCUCAGUUUCACUCCGCCUCACACACGGAUAGGACACCAGGGACCCGACACCAUGCAUGCCGAUUUCAUAUUAUUAAUAUUUAUUUUUUGAAUGGUUGUUGAAACUAUAUAUAUAGUUAGUCCAAUCUCACGUUUCCGAUUAUAAAAAUUAACAUAAAGAGAUCGGAAGGGAGAGCACUAGAGCCGGCAUUUAUACAAACUGGUAUGAAUAGUAAAAUCUAGAAUUCAUAAAUAAAAAAAUGAUUUGCACAUCUAUGCAAUAAUUAGUGGUUAGUGGUAGGUCUAGAGAGAUAUCUCAUCAAAUCGAUGAGUUAUAUCCGGUUUAAACGAGGAUAAAAAUGAGUGUAGUCUUUUCGCAGCUGUACCGCCUUUCCUUUCGUGUGUUCUAUUGUUCCCCUAACACCAAGUCUCCAAGACUCAAGAAAAUAAGGAAAGUGAUAGCAGCCUAGAAAUCGACCAAGUUUCUUUCCCCCUUUGGCUUUUCUACUAGGAUUCGGAAUCCUCUUUCGCAUGACAAUCUUAAUUAUCUCCCAUAGUUCAAAACUCACAAAACUAUCAAAAAUCCACCGAGAAUAAAUUAUGUAAAAACAUGCACACACAGAUAAUAAUAAUAAUAAUCAUGUUUCAAUAAAAUUUCUAAGGCUAGAGACAAUACAUAAACAUAUUAGACUAUUCAUGACACAUAUCACAGUGGACAGUGUCAGUAUCCUUAUUACAAGCAGCGAGAGAUGCUUGUCACCACACACACGCGUGCACAGAUGCACGACAUACAU
RNAcentral lists this long non-coding RNA (28215 nucleotides) under Setaria italica (foxtail millet). RNAcentral's name for it is "long non-coding RNA (SITA_LNC006094)". The record is from RNAcentral. Lineage: Eukaryota; Viridiplantae; Streptophyta; Magnoliopsida; Poales; Poaceae.